This 73-nucleotide small nucleolar RNA is filed under the name Erpetoichthys calabaricus (reedfish). The record is from RNAcentral. Lineage: Eukaryota; Metazoa; Chordata; Cladistia; Polypteriformes; Polypteridae.
AUUAAGAGAUGAUGAUUUUUUUUACCGCCCCAGUCUGAAUUACCUGUGACUGAGUGGUAUUAUUCUGAUUGCU